This 642-nucleotide ribosomal RNA is filed under the name uncultured bacterium. Its description in RNAcentral is "bacterial SSU rRNA". It matches the Rfam family "Bacterial small subunit ribosomal RNA", at positions 202 to 842 of the family's 1533-position model. The record is from RNAcentral.
CAAAGGUUGAUUCCGGUGGCGGAUGGGCAUGCGUCGCAUUAGUUAGUUGGCGGUGUAACGGACCACCAAGACGACGAUGCGUAGGGGUUCUGAGAGGAAGGUCCCCCACACUGGUACUGAGACACGGACCAGACUCCUACGGGAGGCAGCAGUGAGGAAUAUUGGUCGAUGGGCGGGAGCCUGAACCAGCCAAGUCGCGUGAGGGAUGACGGCCCUAUGGGUUGUAAACCUCUUUUGCCGGGGAGCAAAGUGCCGCACGUGUGCGGUUUGGAGAGUACCCGGAGAAAAAGCAUCGGCUAACUCCGUGCCAGCAGCCGCGGUAAUACGGAGGAUGCGAGCGUUAUCCGGAUUUAUUGGGUUUAAAGGGUGCGUAGGCGGACGCUUAAGUCAGCGGUAAAAUUGCGGGGCUCAACCUCGUCGAGCCGUUGAAACUGGGUGCCUUGAGUGGGCGAGAAGUACGCGGAAUGCGUGGUGUAGCGGUGAAAUGCAUAGAUAUCACGCAGAACUCCGAUUGCGAAGGCAGCGUACCGGCGCCCAACUGACGCUGAAGCACGAAGGCGUGGGUAUCGAACAGGAUUAGAUACCCUGGUAGUCCACGCAGUAAACGAUGAAUGCUAGUUGUCCGGGGCGAUUGAGUUCUGG